CUACGGGUCGCAGCAGUAGGGAAUUUUGCGCAAUGGGCGAAAGCCUGACGCAGCAACGCCGCGUGAUCGAUGAAGCUCCUAGGAGUGUAAAGAUCUGUCAUAAGGGAAGAAAAGUUUUAAUAUUAAUAGUAUUAGAAUUUGACGGUACCUUAUAAGAAAGCACCGGCUAACUUCGUGCCAGCAGCCGCGGUAAUACGAGGGGUGCAAGCGUUGUCCGGAAUCAUUGGGCGUAAAGGGUGCGUAGGCGUCCGAGAAAGUUAUUUGUUAAAUCCUCCGGCUUAACCGGAGUUCUGCAAGUAAAACUACUCGGAUAGAGUUUAAGAGAGGAAAAUGGAAUUCCUGGUGUAGCGGUGACAUGCGUAGAUAUCAGGAGGAACAUCUAUGGCGAAGGCAGUUUUCUGGCUUAAAACUGACGCUGAGGCACGAAAGCGUGGGGAGCAAACAGGAUUAGAUACCCCCGUAGUC
This 465-nucleotide ribosomal RNA is filed under the name uncultured bacterium. Its description in RNAcentral is "partial 16S ribosomal RNA". It matches the Rfam family "Bacterial small subunit ribosomal RNA", at positions 339 to 795 of the family's 1533-position model. The record is from RNAcentral.